RNAcentral lists this ribosomal RNA (682 nucleotides) under Salmonella enterica subsp. enterica serovar Bredeney. RNAcentral describes it as "bacterial LSU rRNA". It matches the Rfam family "Bacterial large subunit ribosomal RNA", at positions 1 to 612 of the family's 2925-position model. The record is from RNAcentral. Lineage: Bacteria; Pseudomonadati; Pseudomonadota; Gammaproteobacteria; Enterobacterales; Enterobacteriaceae.
GGGUUGUGAGGUUAAGCGACUAAGCGUACACGGUGGAUGCCCUGGCAGUCAGAGGCGAUGAAGGACGUGCUAAUCUGCGAUAAGCGCCGGUAAGGUGAUAUGAACCGUUAUAACCGGCGAUUUCCGAAUGGGGAAACCCAGUGUGACUCGUCACACUAUCAUUAACUGAAUCCAUAGGUUAAUGAGGCGAACCGGGGGAACUGAAACAUCUAAGUACCCCGAGGAAAAGAAAUCAACCGAGAUUCCCCCAGUAGCGGCGAGCGAACGGGGAGGAGCCCAGAGCCUGAAUCAGCAUGUGUGUUAGUGGAAGCGUCUGGAAAGGCGCGCGAUACAGGGUGACAGCCCCGUACACAAAAGCGCAUAUGCUGUGAGCUCGAUGAGUAGGGCGGGACACGUGGUAUCCUGUCUGAAUAUGGGGGGACCAUCCUCCAAGGCUAAAUACUCCUGACUGACCGAUAGUGAACCAGUACCGUGAGGGAAAGGCGAAAAGAACCCCGGCGAGGGGAGUGAAAAAGAACCUGAAACCGUGUACGUACAAGCAGUGGGAGCCCCACCACUAAGCCAGUGGUGAACUCCACAUACGCAUCCUUUGCUGAGGAUGCGGUUAACGGAGCGAAAGCGACGUUCAACCGCAAAAGAAGCAGAGGGGGCUUAGUGGUGGGGUGACUGCGUACCUUUUGUA